CAAAAGUAUGCAUGCCUAUAGGCCCAGCUACUCAGGCUUGAGGAGGGAGGCUCAUCUGAGCCCAGGAGUUCUGGACUGUAGUGUGCUCUUGCCAAUCAGGUGCCUGCGCUAAGUUCAUCAGUAUGGUGACCUCCUUGGAGCACGGGACUACCAGGUUCCUUAAGGAAAGGGGUGAGCCUACCCAGGCUAGAAAAGGGGCAGGUCAACAGUCCCACGCUAAUCAGUAGUGGGAUUGUGCCUGGGAAGAGCCACCAUACUCCAGCCUAGGCAACAUAGUGAGACAUCGUCUCU
This is an unclassified non-coding RNA of Cercocebus atys (sooty mangabey), 291 nucleotides long. It matches the Rfam family "Metazoan signal recognition particle RNA". Rfam says of the family: The signal recognition particle (SRP) is a universally conserved ribonucleoprotein. The record is from Ensembl. NCBI's taxonomy places the organism in Eukaryota, Metazoa, Chordata, Mammalia, Primates, Cercopithecidae.